GAUGAACGCUGGCGGCAUGCCUAAUACAUGCAAGUCGAACGAAGUCUUUAGGAAGCUUGCUUCCAAAGAGACUUAGUGGCGAACGGGUGAGUAACACGUAGGUAACCUGCCCAUGUGCCCGGGAUAACUGCUGGAAACGGUAGCUAAACCGGAUAGGUAUGAGGGAGGCAUCUUCCUCAUAUUAAAGCACCUUCGGGUGUGAACAUGGAUGGACCUGCGGCGCAUUAGCUGGUUGGUGAGGUAACGGCCCACCAAGGCGAUGAUGCGUAGCCGACCUGAGAGGGUGAACGGCCACAUUGGGACUGAGACACGGCCCAAACUCCUACGGGAGGCAGCAGUAGGGAAUUUCGUCAAUGGGGGACCGUACAGAGCAUAGCGCGUGUGUGAAGAAGGUACGUUCGGUAGUCGU
This 409-nucleotide ribosomal RNA is filed under the name uncultured bacterium. Its description in RNAcentral is "bacterial SSU rRNA". It matches the Rfam family "Bacterial small subunit ribosomal RNA", at positions 28 to 426 of the family's 1533-position model. The record is from RNAcentral.